Molecule: ribosomal RNA, 112 nt
Filed under: uncultured bacterium
Lineage: Bacteria
Description: partial 16S ribosomal RNA
Rfam family: Bacterial small subunit ribosomal RNA
Source: RNAcentral
CCCGGGCCUUGUACACACCGCCCGUCACACCACGAGAGUUUGUAACACCCGAAGUCGGUGGGGUAACCUUUAUGGAGCCAGCCGCCUAAGGUGGGACAGAUGAUUGGGGGUG